This 332-nucleotide ribosomal RNA is filed under the name uncultured bacterium. RNAcentral describes it as "bacterial SSU rRNA". It matches the Rfam family "Bacterial small subunit ribosomal RNA", at positions 568 to 898 of the family's 1533-position model. The record is from RNAcentral.
CGUGUAGGCGGUCUCCUCAGUCUGGUGUGAAAGCCCGGGGCUCACCCCCGGAAGUGCAUCGGAUACUGGGAGACUUGAGUACCGGAGAGGAGGGUGGAAUUCCUGGUGUAGCGGUGAAAUGCGUAGAUAUCAGGAGGAACACCGGUGGCGAAGGCGGCCCUCUGGACGGAUACUGACGCUGAGACGCGAAAGCGUGGGGAGCAAACAGGAUUAGAUACCCUGGUAGUCCACGCUGUAAACGAUGGGCACUAGGUGUUCGGGGUAUUGACCCCCUGAGUGCCGCAGCUAACGCAUUAAGUGCCCCGCCUGGGGAAUACGGCCGCAAGGUUAAA